UUACUGAACAGUGGCGCAGUAUCCUAGUCAGAUCUGCCAUCUCCUAAGAAGGGCCUAAAAAUCCUUUAAAGGGCACAACUGUGAAUCCUCUGGUGCCUGCUUCUUACGCCCAGUUUGGGGUGGGUGCUGGAGGAAGGCGCGGCAUAUGUGCCGUGCCUGCGGAUUCAGGGCGCCCUCCAAUGGCAUGGAGGACCCGACCCUGCUUUCGUGGAGACCUGCUAUUGUGCACAGGCGUACUCCCUUUGUGGUCAAGCGACCUGUGUACGAAGCAGAUUGAGAACCUGCAUUGCGGUGCUAAAGCGGCCUGCGGCCGCUGUAACGCUGUGUGCAGAGUAGCCUGCCUUGCGUGGGCAGGGUGGAUAGGGGAGCUCAUGCGUGAACUCCCCGGCCAGGGAGCUAACGCUAUUCCCUUGAAACCCUGUCUGCAAAAGAGGCUAAGAGAUGGUUUGACUGUGGUGGAAAUCACCUAGGCUGUCUUCAUCGGGCACCGAAGGGAUUGCAGUGCGGACUAAGUGGCAGUCGGGUAUCAUGGCGGGCAACACCAUGAUGCAGUACCGAACGGGAAACCGCCUGAUCGGCAACGAGAGGUGUGCUGCAGGGAAAUCCAACCCGUACCUAAGCCGUAAGAUUUACUUUCGGAGCUGCCCUGU
Molecule: small RNA, 650 nt
Filed under: pig gut metagenome
Source: RNAcentral